This 1537-nucleotide ribosomal RNA is filed under the name Burkholderia contaminans. Its description in RNAcentral is "bacterial SSU rRNA". It matches the Rfam family "Bacterial small subunit ribosomal RNA". The record is from RNAcentral. Lineage: Bacteria; Pseudomonadati; Pseudomonadota; Betaproteobacteria; Burkholderiales; Burkholderiaceae.
UUAAACUGAAGAGUUUGAUCCUGGCUCAGAUUGAACGCUGGCGGCAUGCCUUACACAUGCAAGUCGAACGGCAGCACGGGUGCUUGCACCUGGUGGCGAGUGGCGAACGGGUGAGUAAUACAUCGGAACAUGUCCUGUAGUGGGGGAUAGCCCGGCGAAAGCCGGAUUAAUACCGCAUACGAUCUACGGAUGAAAGCGGGGGACCUUCGGGCCUCGCGCUAUAGGGUUGGCCGAUGGCUGAUUAGCUAGUUGGUGGGGUAAAGGCCUACCAAGGCGACGAUCAGUAGCUGGUCUGAGAGGACGACCAGCCACACUGGGACUGAGACACGGCCCAGACUCCUACGGGAGGCAGCAGUGGGGAAUUUUGGACAAUGGGCGAAAGCCUGAUCCAGCAAUGCCGCGUGUGUGAAGAAGGCCUUCGGGUUGUAAAGCACUUUUGUCCGGAAAGAAAUCCUUGGCUCUAAUACAGUCGGGGGAUGACGGUACCGGAAGAAUAAGCACCGGCUAACUACGUGCCAGCAGCCGCGGUAAUACGUAGGGUGCGAGCGUUAAUCGGAAUUACUGGGCGUAAAGCGUGCGCAGGCGGUUUGCUAAGACCGAUGUGAAAUCCCCGGGCUCAACCUGGGAACUGCAUUGGUGACUGGCAGGCUAGAGUAUGGCAGAGGGGGUAGAAUUCCACGUGUAGCAGUGAAAUGCGUAGAGAUGUGGAGGAAUACCGAUGGCGAAGGCAGCCCCCUGGGCCAAUACUGACGCUCAUGCACGAAAGCGUGGGAGCAAACAGGAUUAGAUACCCUGGUAGUCCACGCCCUAAACGAUGUCAACUAGUUGUUGGGGAUUCAUUUCCUUAGUAACGUAGCUAACGCGUGAAGUUGACCGCCUGGGGAGUACGGUCGCAAGAUUAAAACUCAAAGGAAUUGACGGGGACCCGCACAAGCGGUGGAUGAUGUGGAUUAAUUCGAUGCAACGCGAAAAACCUUACCUACCCUUGACAUGGUCGGAAUCCUGCUGAGAGGUGGGAGUGCUCGAAAGAGAACCGGCGCACAGGUGCUGCAUGGCUGUCGUCAGCUCGUGUCGUGAGAUGUUGGGUUAAGUCCCGCAACGAGCGCAACCCUUGUCCUUAGUUGCUACGCAAGAGCACUCUAAGGAGACUGCCGGUGACAAACCGGAGGAAGGUGGGGAUGACGUCAAGUCCUCAUGGCCCUUAUGGGUAGGGCUUCACACGUCAUACAAUGGUCGGAACAGAGGGUUGCCAACCCGCGAGGGGGAGCUAAUCCCAGAAAACCGAUCGUAGUCCGGAUUGCACUCUGCAACUCGAGUGCAUGAAGCUGGAAUCGCUAGUAAUCGCGGAUCAGCAUGCCGCGGUGAAUACGUUCCCGGGUCUUGUACACACCGCCCGUCACACCAUGGGAGUGGGUUUUACCAGAAGUGGCUAGUCUAACCGCAAGGAGGACGGUCACCACGGUAGGAUUCAUGACUGGGGUGAAGUCGUAACAAGGUAGCCGUAUCGGAAGGUGCGGCUGGAUCACCUCCUUUCCAG